This is a long non-coding RNA of Dreissena polymorpha, 1397 nucleotides long. RefSeq lists it as uncharacterized. The transcript has 6 exons. Lineage: Eukaryota; Metazoa; Mollusca; Bivalvia; Myida; Dreissenidae. The record is from RefSeq and is a predicted model, not a curated record.
CCAGGUCAUACAAGCUGAACACGGUUGACCUGCACACCUAACAGUGGAAAUAAGGAAACAAGUGAUCACACAUCCACCCACUUUCUGCCCGGAACAACAGUUAGCCUUCUGUGCAAGGUCAUGAGGUGAAACCUGGAUGUUUCGUAUCCAUGACUGCACACAGCUACUGUGAGAGUCUCGACUCUCUGGUGGUUCAGGGUCCCAUUUUCCCACAAUACUGCUGUAUACGAGGGCAGGACAAACAAAUGGUUACUGGUGAGAUUCACUUCUGCCUUUAUAAGGCCAAGUGAACACUGGCGGAAGCUGACUUGGGUAAACCGCCUCUCUCCCGUACAAAAGGAAGAAGGGUGUGAACUUGGUGCUGGAGUGCCGUUUGGUGCGCUGGGCAAACAGAGCUCCAUCAAGUUUUAGAUGGAAUUGGGAACGCUUCAACCCACUUGGUGAAAUAAUCUGUUGCGGUAAAAAUGAACCUGUUGCCACUGGAUGUUUCUUGGAAUGGGCCCAUAAGAUCUACACCAACCAGCUCGAAUGGGCGAGAAACCUAGAAUUUAAGGAACUAUUACAAAUCGAACUUAUCAGAAGAAAAUAUACUAAUGGCUAUGCAUCGUGGACUCGCAUUUUUCCUUAAAAUGCAGUUUCAAAAUUGAUAUAGAACAAUGUAUUUGUCAGCGUCCGAUAUAUAGCACAUUAUAUAUUAACUGUUUGUAUUUUGUACAUUCAUGUUACUUAUUUUGUAAUAUGUAUAUUAUACAAUUGCUGUACAUAGAAUUUAUAACAUCCUUUUUCUCAUUGAAUGUAUAUGGUCCUGGUGUUGUUGUCUCCGUCUUCGUCCGCGUCGUGCUAAAAACUUAACAAUUUGUCAAGGUUUUGAACAUUAGCUCUAAAAUCAAAGUGCUUCAACUGACAACUUCAUAUGUAGCUGCACCUUGAUGAGUUCUAAAUGCCACACCCAAUUUUGGGUCACUAGGUCAAAGGUCAAGGUCACUGUGACUUGAAAAAAAAUUCUGUCAAGCUUUCAUGUAUUUAAAACUGCACCCGCAGCUGAGCGUGCCCGUUAUGCUAUGCUCUUGUUCCUUUAUUGUUAGGUUUUUAUCUGUUUUUACUGUACAGAGAAUAUUUUACGUAUUGUAAUACCUUUAUUUGCUGGAGUUCGGGUUUCUUGGCUGGUUUUAAGGGGUCAGACUUCUGACAAGCCUCACAGGUACUCACCUAAAAUAACAGAUUGUAUUGUUUAUUUAUAAUUUAUUGUCUUUGUGUGUCUAUAUAUGUAUACAGUGGUCUUUAGUAAAAGAUAAAUAUAUAAUCACAAGUGAAAAACCAAAAUAUGUAAACCAAAAUUUAAAAAGCAUGUGGAAAUUAUCAGAUGCAUGUCAUAAUAAGGCUUUAUAGAGGUAUAA